Homo sapiens (human) is the source of this 1247-nucleotide long non-coding RNA. Ensembl annotates it as family with sequence similarity 86, member A pseudogene. Its record names the gene FAM86B3P. The record is from Ensembl. Lineage: Eukaryota; Metazoa; Chordata; Mammalia; Primates; Hominidae.
GCCCACAUCAUGACGCCCGAGGAGAACGCGGAGCUUAGAGGCAAAGUUAAGAGACUCAUCAGAUUCUGAGCUGCUGCAGGAUAUUUUGCAGAAGCACGAGGCUGUCCACACGGAGCCUUUGGAUGAGCUGUACGAGGCGCUGGCGGAGACCCUGAUGGCCAAGGAGUCCCCCCAGGGCCACCGGAGCUAUUUGUUGCCCUCGGGAGGCUCGGUCACACUCUCCGAAAGCAUGGCCAUCAUCUCCCACAGCACCACGGGUCUGGUCACAUGGGAUGCCGCCCUCUACAUUGCAGAAUGGGCCAUCGAGAACCCGGCAGCCUUCACUCACAGAUGUGCUGUAUUGCCCAGAAGCCAUUGUGUCACUGGUCAGGGUCCUGCGGAGGCUGGCUGCCUGCCGGGAGCACCAGCGGGCUUCUGAGGUCUACGUGGCCUUCGCUGUCCGCAAUUGAGAGACGUGCCAGCUGUUCACCACCGAGCUAGGUUUUUGCUUGUCUGAUGACUGAUGGCUCCACCCAGACCUGCCAACCACUCCCGCGGCCCCAUCCAGAAGUGGCUCAGCGUGCAUGAGGACCAUCUCCAACAUCCCUGUGAUUGUACCCCCAACCAACCAGCAGCAAGAACCUAUUGCCUAGUCACCUCCCCUCUCUUUCCCCAACUAUCAUUGAAAAAGUCUGGCUUCCAAAUUUUCCGGGAGACUGAUUUGGGUAAUAAUAAAACUCCAGUCUUCUGUUCAGCCAGCUCUGCAUGAAUUAAGCUCUUUCUCUAUUGCAAUUUUCCUGUCUUGAUAAAUUGUCUCUACCUGGGCAGGGGGCAAAAUGAACCCAUAGGGUGGUUACAGUACCUUGCUGGGUCACUUGAUAUUCCUGGAGGGUCACGGGAAGCGCUAUGUGAAUCCCACUUCUGAUAUUGUAAGAUUCUCUCCAGGGCCUGAAAGCUUAAGGGGUUGAGCAACUCCUCCCUUCUCAGGCCCAGCCCCAGGGCGCAAGGCCGCUUGCAUCAGCAGCGUGCGUGAGCAGAUGCGCCAGCAAGAUAGCAAAAGCAGGAAGAGAGCCAGCCGGAAGACAAGUACCUCUGAAGAUGGAGAAAGAGGCCAUCUGGGUACAACGUUGCAGUUACGUCAGACCAGGACACUUCCUGUUUACAGGAGACUAUAAAACCUUUGCCCCAUCCUCACUUGGGGCUGACGCCGUUUUAGGCCUCAGCCCGCCAGCACCCAGGCUCUCAUUAAAACAGCAUGUUGCUCCACA